GAGAACAUACCACGGUGGGAACAUCGGUUCUCGACUGAUCACCAAAGUUAAGCAGUGACGGACCCGGUUAUUACUUGCAUGGAUGACCAGUUGGUAAUAUCAAGUGUUGCGGCC
RNAcentral lists this ribosomal RNA (114 nucleotides) under Fasciola hepatica (liver fluke). The record is from RNAcentral. Lineage: Eukaryota; Metazoa; Platyhelminthes; Trematoda; Plagiorchiida; Fasciolidae.